Molecule: ribosomal RNA, 201 nt
Filed under: uncultured bacterium
Lineage: Bacteria
Description: partial 16S ribosomal RNA
Rfam family: Bacterial small subunit ribosomal RNA
Source: RNAcentral
GCAGGCUGCAACUCGCCUGCAUGAAGCUGGAAUUGCUAGUAAUCGCGGAUCAGCAAGCCGCGGUGAAUACGUUCCCGGGCCUUGUACACACCGCCCGUCACACCAUGAGAGUCGGGAACACCCGAAGUCCGUAGUCUAACCGCAAGGGGGGCGCGACCGAAGGUGGGUCCGGUAAUUGGGGUGAAGUCGUAACAAGGUAUC